GGAGAUACAUUCUGCUCCUUAGCCCAGGAAAUGCUGAAGCCACUUUCCUGGGGUCACCACUGGAAUCCUCAGUGAUCCCUUGCCAGUUGGGCUUACUCUUGCUCUCAGGGUCCAUCCUCCAGACACCUAGAGACCACCCCUAGGAAUUCACAUUUCUGGAGAGAGUUCCCAUUCUUGUUUUCAAGGAAGGCUUCACAUGCGCUAAUAUAGCCUGAUGCACAUGGAGUUGGCUGUACUCAAGAGAGCAAGGUCUCUUGACUAUGUCUUUGCGCUCUCACUAGUUUGCAAGGUCUGUGAAGGCUGCAGGCACUUUUUCAUCUUUGUGUGUGUGGCUCCCAUCACAGCACCUACAACAUGGAAGACUCUCCCAACUUGCCUGUUAAAUGUUGAUAAUCAUCAAAUUUCAUUACGGACUGUUCAAGAGGCCAGGAAAUCACUAAACCCCAUGGGCUGGCAGCUUCUGAAGCCACCGCCAAGACUUCCACUGGGAUAUGCUUACCCAUCUGUGGGCUGCUAUGCUGGCACUGCCCAGUAACAGAUGUGGAGAGCCUGGAAGACCCGAAGCGGGGCGCCCCCACCCAUCAGGGGACCCAUGAGGAGGGGCACCCGGGUGGCUCAGUGGUUGGCCAUAUGCCUUCAGCUCAGGUUGCCAUCCCAGAGUCCUGGGAUUGAGUCCCACAUCGGGCUCCCUGCGAGGAGCCUGCUUCUCCAUCUGCCUAUGUCUGCCUUUCUCUCUGUGUCUCUCAUGAAUAAAUAAAAUUUAAAAAAAAAGGAAACCCACAAGUAACCCAAGGCACCCCCAGACCAUCCAGACCCACUGAGGAGCCUGUAGCCACCUGCCUCUUUGCGGGGGCGGGGGGGGGGUUCCUUGAGACUGCUUUGUACAUUUUCCUCUUUUUCUCAAUUCCCACAGAAGGGAAAUUCUUCCUCCCAUAUGUUCCUGGUUUGUCUAUUGGAGAAGGACCAGGUUUAGGGGUGGCUGUGGGGAUGCUGUUUCUAGGCAGGACUCUUGGUCACCUGGCUUUGCUGGUGGGGGGGCACCCAGACAUCAGAGCCACAGAGGUCAGGACGACCCCUGGUCAAACUUGCUCUCAAGUACUGGGCCUCCAAGAGGUCCAGCAGCCAGCAGCCCCAAGGACUCCAUUCAGCCAGGGAACUUUCCUGCUCCACUGUGCUGGCCCUUCUCUCCAACUUCAUCUCAGGGGCCCACGGAUCACUUCAAGUUGUUAUGCUGCAUCUAUAGUAUCUAUAGCAUCUCUCACUUUCUUUUUUUUAAAGAGAUAAAUUAAGGGAAGAACUUUCUUUUUUAAGAUUAUUUAUUUAUUCCGGGGGCGGGGGGCAGAGA
This is a long non-coding RNA of Canis lupus familiaris (dog), 1345 nucleotides long. RefSeq lists it as uncharacterized. The transcript is spliced from 3 exons. The record is from RefSeq and is a predicted model, not a curated record. NCBI's taxonomy places the organism in Eukaryota, Metazoa, Chordata, Mammalia, Carnivora, Canidae.